Molecule: long non-coding RNA, 330 nt
Organism: Camelus dromedarius (Arabian camel)
Lineage: Eukaryota; Metazoa; Chordata; Mammalia; Artiodactyla; Camelidae
Exons: 3
Source: RefSeq, a predicted model, not a curated record
CCUCUCUGGAACUGAGCCUGUGUGUGCCACAACUUCUCUGGUUUACUCAUCUGAGAAAAGGAGAUUCAGACUCAGUAUGUGCUGAGCUGUUAGUGUAUACCAGGCUCUGUGAUCAGCCCUUUGCAUGGAGAAAUGUGUUCACAACCCCAUGAGCCAACACAAGAAAGGGGCCCAGUGCCUGGCCCGGAAUAGACCCUCCAUAGAUGUUUGUUGAAUGACUGAAUGAAAUGCAGAAUUGGCUGCGUUGGCGGAAUGUAUCUGGCACAAGACCUGCCCGCCACCCACUGUCUGCCAGCUCAGAGCCCAGCCUGGGUUUCCACAUCUGCUGGU